This 808-nucleotide long non-coding RNA is filed under the name Camelus dromedarius (Arabian camel). RNAcentral's name for it is "lncRNA (ENSCDRG00005001566.1)". Lineage: Eukaryota; Metazoa; Chordata; Mammalia; Artiodactyla; Camelidae. The record is from RNAcentral.
UUUCCAACCCAUGUGCAGAGUGAGACGUGUGUUAUUGUUUCCCAUGUUUGCAAUUGUAAUAUGUGGAUUCACAGCACUGGGUCUUCACAUCAGCUUCUGCAUUCGAUCAGCUGUGAUGUCACACUGCACGCGCGUGAGAGAAUGAGAAUGGAAAACACAAAUAAUUCCUUAGUAUGAUUAGGAAAAUAGUGUGGCCUUGGAAACUCCCCAGAAGAAGUUUAAUCCUGUCACUUGUUUUCCAGAUGGACGAUUCUUCCGACACAAAUUUUACAAAGAAUAUCCAGAGGGUGCCUUCAAGAAUGUGGCCGAACCUGGGAAAGGACAACAGAGGCACUUUCAAUAAAGCAACGGCAGCAGCCAGUGCACAAGAACAUUCCUCCACUUUCUGCUAAGCCUUGGAAACAGUUGGGUAAAAAAAUGUUUUUCAACCCCUAGAGGUCAUGCCCAGCUCAACAGAGCAUGACCCCAGAGAUGCUUGGAGACAGGACACCUGGCUCUCAACCCCCGUCGGGCCCUGCCUGGCUGGGUGACUUUGUGGGAGCCACUCACCAGCGCCUGGUCCCUGUUUUAUGACCCUGGAAAGGAGGCACACCAAGCAGUCCCCUUGACCUUGUAGCUCCCUGGAUCGUCCGUGGGAAGAAGUCACUGCCUUUGUGAGCUGUGUGAAGCCCAUUUCUAAGAUAGAGUUCCAUGUCUUGCUUGGUACUGGUUCUUCCAGGUUUGACUCCAGGAGGCAUGUACCCAUCCCACAUGUUCUCAAGAUAAGUUUGCUCAUCAUAAAAUGGAAAUGAACUUACCUACUCAUGCU